Molecule: long non-coding RNA, 336 nt
Organism: Pipra filicauda (Wire-tailed manakin)
Lineage: Eukaryota; Metazoa; Chordata; Aves; Passeriformes; Pipridae
Exons: 4
Source: RefSeq, a predicted model, not a curated record
GGUGUAUACACCAGAUAUUUCCUCAGCACGCUGCCUGGAGAAGGAAAUGGGAAUUUAAAAAUGAAACCUUCCAUUUUACAAAAUUGAUAUAGACCACCCAGUAAACUCAGUGCACUGGAUAUGGAUGAUUGGAGUAAUACUUGACUGGAAUUUCCCCUGCUUCUUCCUAUAAUGUUUUUAGUGACACUGAAGAGACUUGGGACUUGAAGGGUUUAAAUGCUGCAAAUAAGUGAUUCAGUCUGGGGGUCAACAAGUACCCAAAGAUGCUGCAGUCAAGCAGAAGUGAAGACAGUCACUUGUGAGGAAUAUGGAAGCUGAGCAGUAAGUGGAGGUGUG